RNAcentral lists this ribosomal RNA (459 nucleotides) under uncultured bacterium. Its description in RNAcentral is "partial 16S ribosomal RNA". It matches the Rfam family "Bacterial small subunit ribosomal RNA", at positions 338 to 795 of the family's 1533-position model. The record is from RNAcentral.
CCUACGGGCGGCAGCAGUGAGGAAUAUUGGUCAAUGGCCGCAGGGCUGAACCAGCCAAGUCGCGUGAGGGAUGAAGGUCCUAUGGAUUUUAAACCUCUUUUGUCAGGGAGCAAAGGGCGCCACGUGUCGUGUUUUGCGAGUACCUGAAGAAACAGCAUCGGCAAACUCCGUGCCAGCAGCCGCGGUAAUACGGAGGAUGCGAGCGUUAUCCGGAUUUAUUGGGUUUAAGGGGUGCGCAGUCGGAAUGUCAAGUCAGCGGUAAAAUUUCGGGGGUAAACCCCGUAGUGCCGUUGAAACUGGCGUUCUUGAGUGAGCGAGAGGUAUGUGGAAUGCGUGGUGUAGCGGUGAAAUGCAUAGAUAUCACGCAGAACACCGAUUGCGAAGGCAGCAUACCGGCGCUCAACUGACGCUCAUGCACGAAAGCGUGGGUAUCGAACAGGAUUAGAUACCCGUGUAGUC